Molecule: non-coding RNA, 415 nt
Organism: Drosophila melanogaster (fruit fly)
Lineage: Eukaryota; Metazoa; Arthropoda; Insecta; Diptera; Drosophilidae
Source: Ensembl
CUUGUUUCAUUUUUUUGGAACACACAACUACAAGCGCACGCUGUUGCCUGCGCGCGCUACACUUUUUCGCACUCGCACACAUACAAGCGCUCGGCACACCACACAUACGCACACACUGGCACAGGCGAACGCAUCGCCGCCGCAAAUGCGACAAGACUGCGGCGGCAUUUCCCAAAUUUUCUUAGCUUUUCAAAACGCGCCAGCGAGGACGCAGUGUAAAAGAGCAGCGUGUGAAAACGACGACGACGGACAAUGCGAAAUGCAAUUUGUGAGAACAGUGUGCCCGUAUGGUGCUGAACAAACAUACGUCCACAGCCCUGGUCUACAGGCAUGCACGCAAAGUGAUCGAUAACGUUGAUCGAAUAAAAUAAUCAAAUGGCAUGGAUGAAGAUGCUUAGUUUGUUGGCUUACUUAC